GAGCACGUAGGUGGGUUUGUAAGUCAGACGUGAAAGCCUUCUGUUCAACGGAGGAAUUGCAUCUGAAACUACAAACCUUGAGUGUAGGAGGGGAGAAUGGAACUUCUGGUGGAGCGGUGAAAUGCGUAGAUAUCAGAAGGAACGCCGGCGGCAAAAGCGAUUCUCUGGCCUAUUACUGACACUCAGUGUGCGAAAGCUAGGGGAGCAAACGGGAUUAGAUACCCCGGUGGUCCUAGCCGUAAACGAUGGGCACUAAGUAGAGGGGU
This 266-nucleotide ribosomal RNA is filed under the name uncultured Planctomycetota bacterium. RNAcentral describes it as "uncultured planctomycete partial 16S ribosomal RNA". It matches the Rfam family "Bacterial small subunit ribosomal RNA", at positions 565 to 829 of the family's 1533-position model. Lineage: Bacteria; Pseudomonadati; Planctomycetota. The record is from RNAcentral.